RNAcentral lists this ribosomal RNA (351 nucleotides) under uncultured bacterium. Its description in RNAcentral is "bacterial SSU rRNA". It matches the Rfam family "Bacterial small subunit ribosomal RNA", at positions 8 to 353 of the family's 1533-position model. The record is from RNAcentral.
AGAGUUUGAUCCUGGCUCAGGACGAACGCUGGCGGCGCGCCUAACACAUGCAAGUCGAACGAGCGAGAGAGAGCUUGCUUUCUCGAGCGAGUGGCGAACGGGUGAGUAACGCGUGAGGAACCUGCCUCAAANAGGGGGGACAACAGUUGGAAACGACUGCUAAUACCGCAUAAGCCCACAGCUCGGCAUCGAGCAGAGGGAAAAGGAGCAAUCCGCUUUGAGAUGGCCUCGCGUCCGAUUAGCUAGUUGGUGAGGUAAUGGCCCACCAAGGCAACGAUCGGUAGCCGGACUGAGAGGUUGAACGGCCACAUUGGGACUGAGACACGGCCCAGACUCCUACGGGAGGCAGCA